CCGACGGUGAGGGGUGAAAGCUGGGGGAGCAAACCGGAUUAGAUACCCGGGUAGUCCCAGCUGUAAACUAUGCAAACUCAGUGAUGCAUUGGCUUGUGGCCAAUGCAGUGCUGCAGGGAAGCCGUUAAGUUUGCCGCCUGGGAAGUACGUACGCAAGUAUGAAACUUAAAGGAAUUGGCGGGGGAGCACCACAAGGGGUGAAGCCUGCGGUUCAAUUGGAGUCAACGCCAGAAAUCUUACCCGGAGAGACAGCAGAAUGAAGGUCAAGCUGAAGACUUUACCAGACAAGCUGAGAGGUGGUGCAUGGCCGUCGCCAGCUCGUGCCGUGAGAUGUCCUGUUAAGUCAGGUAACGAGCGAGAUCCCUGCCUUUAGUUGCCACUAUUACUCUCAGGAGUAGUAGGGCGAAUUAGAGGGACCGCCGCAGUUAAUGCGGAGGAAGGAAGGGGCCACGGCAGGUCAGUAUGCCCCGAAACUCUGGGGCCACACGCGGGCUGCAAUGGUAACGACAGUGAGUUCCAAAAUCGAAAGAUGGAGGUAAUCCCUAAACGUUACCACAGUUAUGAUUGAGGGCUGCAACUCGCCCUCAUGAAUAUGGAAUCCCUAGUAACCGCGUGUCAUUAUCGCGCAGUGAAUACGUCCCUGCUCCUUGCACUCACCGCCCGU
This 664-nucleotide ribosomal RNA is filed under the name uncultured archaeon. Its description in RNAcentral is "bacterial SSU rRNA". It matches the Rfam family "Archaeal small subunit ribosomal RNA", at positions 691 to 1353 of the family's 1478-position model. The record is from RNAcentral.